CCAGACUCCUACGGGAGGCAGCAGUGGGGAAUAUUGCACAAUGGGGGAAACCCUGAUGCAGCGACGCCGCGUGAGCGAAGAAGUACCUCGGUAUGUAAAGCUCUAUCAGCAGGGAAGAAGAUGACGGUACCUGACCAAGAAGCUCCGGCUAAAUACGUGCCAGCAGCCGCGGUAAUACGGAGGGUGCAAGCGUUACUCGGAAUCACUGGGCGUAAAGAGCGCGUAGGCGGGAUAGCAAGUCAGAUGUGAAAUCCUAUGGCUUAACCAUAGAACUGCAUUUGAAACUGUUGGUCUUGAGUAUCGGAGAGGCAGGCGGAAUUCCUAGUGUAGCGGUGAAAUGCGUAGAUAUUAGGAGGAACACCAGUGGCGAAGGCGGCCUGCUGGACGACAACUGACGGUGAGGCGCGAAAGCGUGGGGAGCAAACAGGAUUAGAUACCCUCGUAGCC
This 447-nucleotide ribosomal RNA is filed under the name uncultured bacterium. RNAcentral's name for it is "partial 16S ribosomal RNA". It matches the Rfam family "Bacterial small subunit ribosomal RNA", at positions 331 to 795 of the family's 1533-position model. The record is from RNAcentral.